RNAcentral lists this ribosomal RNA (799 nucleotides) under Pseudomonas sp. Its description in RNAcentral is "partial 16S ribosomal RNA". It matches the Rfam family "Bacterial small subunit ribosomal RNA", at positions 657 to 1450 of the family's 1533-position model. The record is from RNAcentral. Lineage: Bacteria; Pseudomonadati; Pseudomonadota; Gammaproteobacteria; Pseudomonadales; Pseudomonadaceae.
GUAGUCGAUUUCUCCCAGUGCAGGGGGUGAGACCCAGAAGAUUAUAGGAAAGCAACCCCCAGUGGUGAAGGCGACUCCUGGGGCGACACCCCCAGUGAGGUGUAAAAGUGUGGGGACCACACAGGAUGAGAUCCCGUUGUAGUCCACGCCACAAAUGAUCUCAAUUAGCCGUGGGUAUCCUUGAGAUAUUAGCGCAGCAGCCAACCCAAUAAGAAGUCCCCCUGGGGAGUACCGCCCCAAGGUUAAACAUUAUAUGAAUCGACGGGCGGCUGCACAAGCGGUAGAUCACUUGUAUUAAUUCGAAGCACCGAGAAGAGCUUUACGCGCCCUAAUCAUGAUGAGAACUUUCACCAGAUGGAUUGGCGCCUUCGAGAAAUCAAACACAGGUGCUGCAUGGUUGUCGUCAACUGUCGUAAUGAGAUGUUGUGUUAAGUGCCGCAAUGAGCGCAACCCUUAUCCUUUUUUACCACCACGUUAUGGUGGGCACUCUAAGGAGGCUGCCGGUGACAAACCGGAGGAAGGUGGGGAUGACGUCAAGUCAUCAUGCCCCUGACGGCCAGGGCUACACACUUGCUACAAUAGUCGGAACAAAGGGUUAACAAGCCGGGAGGUGGAGCUAAUCCCAAAAAACCCAUUGUAGUCCGGGAAGCAGUCAGCAACUCGACUGCGAGAAGUAGGUACGAAUAUUAAUCGUGAAUCAGAACGUCACGGUGAAUACGUUCCCGGUCCUUGUACACACCGCCCGUCCCACCGGGGGGGGGGGUUGCUCCAGAAGUAGCUAGUCCCCCCCUGGGGAGGA